This 479-nucleotide ribosomal RNA is filed under the name uncultured Methanomicrobiaceae archaeon. RNAcentral describes it as "bacterial SSU rRNA". It matches the Rfam family "Archaeal small subunit ribosomal RNA", at positions 537 to 1015 of the family's 1478-position model. The record is from RNAcentral. Lineage: Archaea; Methanobacteriati; Methanobacteriota; Methanomicrobia; Methanomicrobiales; Methanomicrobiaceae.
GUCUCUGGGGAAAUCUACCGGCUUAACCGGAAGGCGUCUCAGGGAUACUGGCAGACUAGGGACCGGGAGAGGUGAGGGGUACUCCAGGGGUAGGAGUGAAAUCCUGUAAUCCUUGGGGGACCACCUGUGGCGAAGGCGCCUCACCAGAACGGCUCCGACAGUGAGGGACGAAAGCUGGGGGAGCAAACCGGAUUAGAUACCCGGGUAGUCCCAGCCGUAAACGAUGCGCGUUAGGUGUAUCGGUGACCACGAGUCACCGAGGUGCCGAAGAGAAAUCGUGAAACGUGCCGCCUGGGAAGUACGGUCGCAAGGCUGAAACUUAAAGGAAUUGGCGGGGGAGCACCACAACAGGUGGAGCCUGCGGUUUAAUCGGACUCAACGCCGGAAAACUCACCGGAUAAGACAGCUGAAUGAUAGUCGGGCUGAAGACUCUACUUGACUAGCUGAGAGGAGGUGCAUGGCCGUCGUCAGUUCGUAUG